Helianthus annuus (common sunflower) is the source of this 645-nucleotide long non-coding RNA. RefSeq lists it as uncharacterized. NCBI's taxonomy places the organism in Eukaryota, Viridiplantae, Streptophyta, Magnoliopsida, Asterales, Asteraceae. The record is from RefSeq and is a predicted model, not a curated record. The transcript is spliced from 4 exons.
UCUACGAUAAUGAAGAAACGGUAUCAAUCGGUAAAUGAAUGAUGGUUUUCUUAUUUGUUGAUUGAUGUGCAUCUUUUCUCACUGUUCUCUUUGCUUUUGAAAGGGACUAUCUGCCUCAAGCUUAUCUCUUUAUCUUGGAAAAUAUGAGCUAUCGUUUCUCCCUUCAAAUAUCCAGGUUCUCUUGAUAUUUGAGGCUGGGAUACUUAUCUUCUCUUUAUGAGUUCUAAGCGGGGUACCAUUUGAUUCAACAACAAAUGGUGGAGAUUUUAAAGAGGAAUUGUAUCAAAAGAUUUAAUUUCUUUCCUUUGAUUUAAAAUGGAGGAUGUUGUGAUAAAGCAAGAUGAGCUGAAGAAAGACGAUUACAUGAUGGAAAAUCAAUUUUGGUAUGGACCAGAAAACAUUAACAGUUGGUGAUUAGCUUGCAACAUUGCUGAUGAAAAAGAUAGUGAUAGACUGGUAGUGCUGAGAUUAUUUUCUACGUGUAUCAUUUCAGUCCUUACAAAUCCCAAUUUGAGUUAGAAAGUAGUGGCGAGGUGAUGUUUGUUUUUAAUUUUGAAUUGCAGUCUGAUUACUUAUAUAGAUUUGUACACUUUGUGAUAAUGUAUAUUAAAUUUCCGACCCGCGAAGUUCGCGGGUGAUAACCUA